This 502-nucleotide ribosomal RNA is filed under the name uncultured bacterium. Its description in RNAcentral is "partial 16S ribosomal RNA". It matches the Rfam family "Bacterial small subunit ribosomal RNA", at positions 28 to 507 of the family's 1533-position model. The record is from RNAcentral.
GACGAACGCUGGCGGCGUGCCUAAUACAUGCAAGUCGAACGAACCGCGACUAGGUGCUUGCACUUGGUCAAGGUGAGUGGCGAACGGGUGAGUAACACGUGGGUAACCUACCUCAUAGUGGGGGAUAACAGUCGGAAACGACUGCUAAUACCGCAUAGGACAUAGGAUCACAUGAUCCAGUGAGGAAAGGUGGCGCAAGCUAUCGCUAAGAGAUGGACCCGCGGUGCAUUAGCUAGUUGGUAGGGUAAAGGCCUACCAAGGCGAUGAUGCAUAGCCGACCGGAGAGGGUGAUCGGCCACAUUGGGACUUGGACACGGCCCAAGCGCCUGCGGGAGGCAGCAGUAGGGAAUCUUCCGCAAUGGACGCAAGUCUGACGGAGCAACGCCGCGUGAGUGAAGGAGGUCUUCGGAUCGUAAAGCUCUGUUGUUAGAGAAGAACAGCGCAUAGAGUAACUGUUAUGCGUGUGACGGUAUCGAACCAGAAAGCCACGGCUAACUACGUG